CCUACGGGAGGCAGCAGUGGGGAAUAUUGCGCAAUGGGCGAAAGCCUGACGCAGCGACGCCGCGUGGGGGAUGACGGCCUUCGGGUUGUAAACCUCUUUCAGCAGGGACGAAGCGGAAGUGACGGUACCUGCAGAAGAAGCACCGGCCAACUACGUGCCAGCAGCCGCGGUAAUACGUAGGGUGCAAGCGUUGUCCGGAAUUAUUGGGCGUAAAGAGCUCGUAGGCGGUUUGUUGCGUCGGCUGUGAAAUCCCGAGGCUCAACCUCGGGUCUGCAGUCGAUACGAGCAAACUAGAGUGUUGCAGGGGAGACUGGAAUUCCUGGUGUAGCGGUGAAAUGCGCAGAUAUCAGGAGGAACACCGGUGGCGAAGGCGGGUCUCUGGGCAACAACUGACGCUGAGGAGCGAAAGCGUGGGGAGCGAACAGGAUUAGAUACCCUUG
This 440-nucleotide ribosomal RNA is filed under the name uncultured bacterium. RNAcentral describes it as "bacterial SSU rRNA". It matches the Rfam family "Bacterial small subunit ribosomal RNA", at positions 338 to 790 of the family's 1533-position model. The record is from RNAcentral.